GAAGAAGAAGAAGAAGGACAAAGACAAGGCCAAGAUGCUGGAGGCCAUGGGGACGAGCAAGAAGAACGAGGAGGAGAAGAGGCGCUGCCUGGACAAGCGCACGCCGGCGCAGGCGGCCUUCGAAAAGAUGCAGGAGAAGCGGGUGAGGCAGGGGCAGAGCAGGCCGGCCCCAACUAGUCUUCCUGUGUACUGGGAUGACAGACUGGUGUUGCCAGCUGUUAAUAUGGCCAAGUUCAUUGUAUUUCUUAAGUUACCACAAAGUCUGUUUCUAUGACAGCUCGCUUUCGUAGCUUCAAAUGUAUUCUGUUAUUUGAAGGUGGUGUGUGUGUUUUGGCUGGAACCCAGCCUCUUCUGGAACUUUCUGUGUUAAGUUUCGGUUGGCUCUGAACUCCUGCCUCAGCUUCCUAGUUCCUGGAAUGACUGGUAUGGCCCACAAGGCCAUGCUAGUUAUUUUGGGCUGUUUGUUUGUUUGUUUAGUUUGCUUUGGUUUUUCGAGGCAGGUUUCUUUGUGUAGCCUUGGUUGUCCUGGCAGGAUCUCUAGACUUGAAUUUCUGGGGUACAGUGUUAUAGUGUGAUAACCCUGUACUGAUCAAAUCCAGGCAGGCACCAUCUCCAUCUAACGACGGGCGUGCUGGCCCACAGGGUUUCUGGGAUGUGUGGUAAUCUGCAGGUUCUGAUCACCCUGCUGUCUCCCCCAGCCAAUAGUGUGUUCUGGUCUGGUCUAACCACUUCAAUGGAGUCACUUUCUUUCUUUCUUUUUUUUCUUUGAAAUUGAAUAAUGACACAGACUGGCUGGCUGGCUGGCUGGUGGCCCUCCUGGGCACCCUAAUUGACAACUCGACACAAGCUAGAAUCCUUAGGAUCUGCCACCCCUUCCUGCUGUCCUUG
This 888-nucleotide long non-coding RNA is filed under the name Rattus norvegicus (Norway rat). RNAcentral describes it as "long non-coding RNA NONRATT011826". The record is from RNAcentral. Lineage: Eukaryota; Metazoa; Chordata; Mammalia; Rodentia; Muridae.